GGGGUUGUGGCUCAGUGGUAGAGCACUUGCAUAGCACGCAUGAGGCCCUGGGUUCAAUCUUCAGCGCCACA
This 71-nucleotide transfer RNA is filed under the name Marmota monax (woodchuck). RNAcentral describes it as "tRNA.Ala". It matches the Rfam family "tRNA". From Rfam's summary of the family: Transfer RNA (tRNA) molecules are approximately 80 nucleotides in length. Their secondary structure includes four short double-helical elements and three loops (D, anti-codon, and T loops). The record is from RNAcentral. Lineage: Eukaryota; Metazoa; Chordata; Mammalia; Rodentia; Sciuridae.